CUCAGAUUGAACGCUGGCGGCAGGCCUAACACAUGCAAGUCGAGCGGUAGCACAGAGAGCUUGCUCUCGGGUGACGAGCGGCGGACGGGUGAGUAAUGUCUGGGAAACUGCCUGAUGGAGGGGGAUAACUACUGGAAACGGUAGCUAAUACCGCAUAACGUCGCAAGACCAAAGUGGGGGACCUUCGGGCCUCAUGCCAUCAGAUGUGCCCAGAUGGGAUUAGCUAGUAGGUGGGGUAACGGCUCACCUAGGCGACGAUCCCUAGCUGGUCUGAGAGGAUGACCAGCCACACUGGAACUGAGACACGGUCCAGACUCCUACGGGAGGCAGCAGUGGGGAAUAUUGCACAAUGGGCGCAAGCCUGAUGCAGCCAUGCCGCGUGUAUGAAGAAGGCCUUCGGGUUGUAAAGUACUUUCAGCGGGGAGGAAGGCGAUAAGGUUAAUAACCUUGUCGAUUGACGUUACCCGCAGAAGAAGCACCGGCUAACUCCGUGCCAGCAGCCGCGGUAAUACGGAGGGUGCAAGCGUUAAUCGGAAUUACUGGGCGUAAAGCGCACGCAGGCGGUCUGUCAAGUCGGAUGUGAAAUCCCCGGGCUCAACCUGGGAACUGCAUUCGAAACUGGCAGGCUAGAGUCUUGUAGAGGGGGGUAGAAUUCCAGGUGUAGCGGUGAAAUGCGUAGAGAUCUGGAGGAAUACCGGUGGCGAAGGCGGCCCCCUGGACAAAGACUGACGCUCAGGUGCGAAAGCGUGGGGAGCAAACAGGAUUAGAUACCCUGGUAGUCCACGCCGUAAACGAUGUCGAUUUGGAGGUUGUGCCCUUGAGGCGUGGCUUCCGGAGCUAACGCGUUAAAUCGACCGCCUGGGGAGUACGGCCGCAAGGUUAAAACUCAAAUGAAUUGACGGGGGCCCGCACAAGCGGUGGAGCAUGUGGUUUAAUUCGAUGCAACGCGAAGAACCUUACCUGGUCUUGACAUCCACAGAACUUAGCAGAGAUGCUUUGGUGCCUUCGGGAACUGUGAGACAGGUGCUGCAUGGCUGUCGUCAGCUCGUGUUGUGAAAUGUUGGGUUAAGUCCCGCAACGAGCGCAACCCUUAUCCUUUGUUGCCAGCGGUUCGGCCGGGAACUCAAAGGAGACUGCCAGUGAUAAACUGGAGGAAGGUGGGGAUGACGUCAAGUCAUCAUGGCCCUUACGACCAGGGCUACACACGUGCUACAAUGGCAUAUACAAAGAGAAGCGACCUCGCGAGAGCAAGCGGACCUCAUAAAGUAUGUCGUAGUCCGGAUUGGAGUCUGCAACUCGACUCCAUGAAGUCGGAAUCGCUAGUAAUCGUAGAUCAGAAUGCUACGGUGAAUACGUUCCCGGGCCUUGUACACACCGCCCGUCACACCAUGGGAGUGGGUUGCAAAAGAAGUAGGUAGCUUAACCUUCGGGAGGGCGCUUACCACUUUGUGAUUCAUGACUGGGGU
This 1466-nucleotide ribosomal RNA is filed under the name Klebsiella sp. Its description in RNAcentral is "bacterial SSU rRNA". It matches the Rfam family "Bacterial small subunit ribosomal RNA". The record is from RNAcentral. Lineage: Bacteria; Pseudomonadati; Pseudomonadota; Gammaproteobacteria; Enterobacterales; Enterobacteriaceae.